GUGUGUGUGUUAGUGGAAGCGUCUGGAAAGGCGCGCGAUACAGGGUGACAGCCCCGUACACAAAAAUGCACAUACUGUGAGCUCGAUGAGUAGGGCGGGACACGUGGUAUCCUGUCUGAAUAUGGGGGGACCAUCCUCCAAGGCUAAAUACUCCUGACUGACCGAUAGUGAACCAGUACCGUGAGGGAAAGGCGAAAAGAACCCCGGCGAGGGGAGUGAAAAAGAACCUGAAACCGUGUACGUACAAGCAGUGGGAGCCUCUUAAUGGGGUGACUGCGUACCUUUUGUAUAAUGGGUCAGCGACUUAUAUUCUGUAGCAAGGUUAACCGAAUAGGGGAGCCGAAGGGAAACCGAGUCUUAACUGGGCGUUAAGUUGCAGGGUAUAGACCCGAAACCCGGUGAUCUAGCCAUGGGCAGGUUGAAGGUUGGGUAACACUAACUGGAGGACCGAACCGACUAAUGUUGAAAAAUUAGCGGAUGACUUGUGGCUGGGGGUGAAAGGCCAAUCAAACCGGGAGAUAGCUGGUUCUCCCCGAAAGCUAUUUAGGUAGCGCCUCGUGAAUUCAUCUCCGGGGGUAGAGCACUGUUUCGGCAAGGGGGUCAUCCCGACUUACCAACCCGAUGCAAACUGCGAAUACCGGAGAAUGUUAUCACGGGAGACACACGGCGGGUGCUAACGUCCGUCGUGAAGAGGGAAACAACCCAGACCGCCAGCUAAGGUCCCAAAGUCAUGGUUAAGUGGGAAACGAUGUGGGAAGGCCCAGACAGCCAGGAUGUUGGCUUAGAAGCAGCCAUCAUUUAAAGAAAGCGUAAUAGCUCACUGGUCGAGUCGGCCUGCGCGGAAGAUGUAACGGGGCUAAACCAUGCACCGAAGCUGCGGCAGCGACACUAUGUGUUGUUGGGUAGGGGAGCGUUCUGUAAGCCUGUGAAGGUGUACUGUGAGGUAUGCUGGAGGUAUCAGAAGUGCGAAUGCUGACAUAAGUAACGAUAAAGCGGGUGAAAAGCCCGCUCGCCGGAAGACCAAGGGUUCCUGUCCAACGUUAAUCGGGGCAGGGUGAGUCGACCCCUAAGGCGAGGCCGAAAGGCGUAGUCGAUGGGAAACAGGUUAAUAUUCCUGUACUUGGUGUUACUGCGAAGGGGGGACGGAGAAGGCUAUGUUGGCCGGGCGACGGUUGUCCCGGUUUAAGCGUGUAGGCUGGUUUUCCAGGCAAAUCCGGAAAAUCAAGGCUGAGGCGUGAUGACGAGGCACUACGGUGCUGAAGCGACAAAUGCCCUGCUUCCAGGAAAAGCCUCUAAGCAUCAGGUAACAUCAAAUCGUACCCCAAACCGACACAGGUGGUCAGGUAGAGAAUACCAAGGCGCUUGAGAGAACUCGGGUGAAGGAACUAGGCAAAAUGGUGCCGUAACUUCGGGAGAAGGCACGCUGAUAUGUAGGUGAAGCGACUUGCUCGUGGAGCUGAAAUCAGUCGAAGAUACCAGCUGGCUGCAACUGUUUAUUAAAAACACAGCACUGUGCAAACACGAAAGUGGACGUAUACGGUGUGACGCCUGCCCGGUGCCGGAAGGUUAAUUGAUGGGGUUAGCGGUAACGCGAAGCUCUUGAUCGAAGCCCCGGUAAACGGCGGCCGUAACUAUAACGGUCCUAAGGUAGCGAAAUUCCUUGUCGGGUAAGUUCCGACCUGCACGAAUGGCGUAAUGAUGGCCAGGCUGUCUCCACCCGAGACUCAGUGAAAUUGAACUCGCUGUGAAGAUGCAGUGUACCCGCGGCAAGACGGAAAGACCCCGUGAACCUUUACUAUAGCUUGACACUGAACAUUGAGCCUUGAUGUGUAGGAUAGGUGGGAGGCUUUGAAGUGUGGACGCCAGUCUGCAUGGAGCCGACCUUGAAAUACCACCCUUUAAUGUUUGAUGUUCUAACGUGGGCCCCUUACCGGGGUUGCGGACAGUGUCUGGUGGGUAGUUUGACUGGGGCGGUCUCCUCCUAAAGAGUAACGGAGGAGCACGAAGGUUGGCUAAUCCUGGUCGGACAUCAGGAGGUUAGUGCAAUGGCAUAAGCCAGCUUGACUGCGAGCGUGACGGCGCGAGCAGGUGCGAAAGCAGGUCAUAGUGAUCCGGUGGUUCUGAAUGGAAGGGCCAUCGCUCAACGGAUAAAAGGUACUCCGGGGAUAACAGGCUGAUACCGCCCAAGAGUUCAUAUCGACGGCGGUGUUUGGCACCUCGAUGUCGGCUCAUCACAUCCUGGGGCUGAAGUAGGUCCCAAGGGUAUGGCUGUUCGCCAUUUAAAGUGGUACGCGAGCUGGGUUUAGAACGUCGUGAGACAGUUCGGUCCCUAUCUGCCGUGGGCGCUGGAGAACUGAGGGGGGCUGCUCCUAGUACGAGAGGACCGGAGUGGACGCAUCACUGGUGUUCGGGUUGUCAUGCCAAUGGCACUGCCCGGUAGCUAAAUGCGGAAGAGAUAAGUGCUGAAAGCAUCUAAGCACGAAACUUGCCCCGAGAUGAGUUCUCCCUGACUCCUUGAGAGUCCUGAAGGAACGUUGAAGACGACGACGUUGAUAGGCCGGGUGUGUAAGCGCAGCGAUGCGUUGAGCUAACCGGUACUAAUGAACCGUGAGGCUUAACCUU
Molecule: ribosomal RNA, 2622 nt
Filed under: Escherichia coli
Lineage: Bacteria; Pseudomonadati; Pseudomonadota; Gammaproteobacteria; Enterobacterales; Enterobacteriaceae
Description: partial 23S ribosomal RNA
Rfam family: Bacterial large subunit ribosomal RNA
Source: RNAcentral